This 277-nucleotide long non-coding RNA is filed under the name Ursus maritimus (polar bear). RNAcentral's name for it is "lncRNA (ENSUMAG00000010057.1)". The record is from RNAcentral. Lineage: Eukaryota; Metazoa; Chordata; Mammalia; Carnivora; Ursidae.
GUCGAACUGACGGGAACGGCCAUGCUGUCGAGAAGUGAACUGGCACCACUGCGAUUCAGAAGUGCUCUGAAAAGGACUUUUCUGACUUGAAUACAUAUAUUAGUACAUAUAUUAGCAGGAGUUGGGGCGCUCACCCAGGACACACUAUGGUGCUUCAGCCAAGUGAAAGGCACCAUCGAGAUUGGAGCCACAGAAGGAGCCAAGGGAGAACCCAAGACAGAGAAUAGUGGCACAAUAAUGAAGCAUGAAUUAUCCAGAUGAAAGCACCUAUGGAAAU